This 76-nucleotide transfer RNA is filed under the name Clostridium sp. RNAcentral's name for it is "tRNA-Phe". It matches the Rfam family "tRNA". From Rfam's summary of the family: Transfer RNA (tRNA) molecules are approximately 80 nucleotides in length. Their secondary structure includes four short double-helical elements and three loops (D, anti-codon, and T loops). Further hydrogen bonds mediate the characteristic L-shaped molecular structure. tRNAs have two regions of fundamental functional importance: the anti-codon, which is responsible for specific mRNA codon recognition, and the 3' end, to which the tRNAs corresponding amino acid is attached (by aminoacyl-tRNA synthetases). tRNAs cope with the degeneracy of the genetic code in two manners: having more than one tRNA (with a specific anti-codon) for a particular amino acid; and 'wobble' base-pairing, i.e. permitting non-standard base-pairing at the 3rd anti-codon position. RNAcentral also lists the same sequence under 2 other names. The record is from RNAcentral. Lineage: Bacteria; Bacillati; Bacillota; Clostridia; Eubacteriales; Clostridiaceae.
GGCCCGAUAGCUCAGCUGGUAGAGCAAGGGACUGAAAAUCCCUGUGUCGAGGGUUCGACUCCCCCUUGGGCCACCA